This 468-nucleotide ribosomal RNA is filed under the name uncultured bacterium. RNAcentral's name for it is "partial 16S ribosomal RNA". It matches the Rfam family "Bacterial small subunit ribosomal RNA", at positions 28 to 507 of the family's 1533-position model. The record is from RNAcentral.
GACGAACGCUGGCGGCGUGCUUAACACAUGCAAGUCGAACGGAAAGGCCCUGCUUUUGUGGGGUGCUCGAGUGGCGAACGGGUGAGUAACACGUGAGUAACCUGCCCUUGACUUUGGGAUAACUUCAGGAAACUGGGGCUAAUACCGGAUAGGAGCUCCUGCUGCAUGGUGGGGGUUGGAAAGUUUCGGCGGUUGGGGAUGGACUCGCGGCUUAUCAGCUUGUUGGUGGGGUAGUGGCUUACCAAGGCUUUGACGGGUAGCCGGCCUGGGAGGGUGACCGGCCACAUUGGGACGGAGAUACGGCACAGACUCCAACGGGAGGCAGCAGUGGGGAAUAUUGCACAAUGGGAGGAAGCCUGAUGCAGCAACGCCGCGUGCGGGAUGACGGCCUUCGGGUUGUAAACCGAUUUCGCCUGUGACGAAGAGUGAGUGACGGUAAUGGGUAAAGAAGCACCGGCUAACUACGUG